Small nucleolar RNA from Aotus nancymaae (Ma's night monkey), 78 nucleotides. NCBI's taxonomy places the organism in Eukaryota, Metazoa, Chordata, Mammalia, Primates, Aotidae. The record is from Ensembl.
UUUAUCGAUGGCAUGAUUUUAAAGCUGUUUCACCCAAAUGCACAGUGGGGAAACCAACCUUGGAGAGCUGAGCAUGCA